ACUGCUCAGUAACACGUGGACAACCUGCCCUUAGGUUGGGUAUAAACCCGGGAAACUGGGUAUAAUACCCGAUAGGUCUCGAUUGCUGGAAUGCAUCGAGAUUUAAAGCUCCGGCGCCUAAGGAUGGGUCUGCGGCCUAUCAGGUAGUAGUGGGUGUAGCGUACCUACUAGCCUACGACGGGUACGGGUUGUGAGAGCAAGAGCCCGGAGAUGGAUUCUGAGACACGAAUCCAGGCCCUACGGGGUGCAGCAGGCGCGAAAACUUUACAAUGCUGGCAACAGCGAUAAGGGAACCUCGAGUGCCAGGUUACAAAUCUGGCUGUCGAGAUGCCUAAAAAGCAUUUCAUAGCAAGGGCCGGGCAAGACCGGUGCCAGCCGCCGCGGUAACACCGGCGGCUCGAGUGGUAACCGUUAUUAUUGGGUCUAAAGGGUCUGUAGCCGGCCGGAUAAGUCUCUUGAGAAAUCUGGCAGCUUAACUGUCAGGCUUUCAGGAGAUACUGUCUAGCUCGAGGCCGGGAGAGGUGAGAGGUACUUCAGGGGUAGGGGUGAAAUCUUGUAAUCCUUGAAGGACCACCAGUGGCGAAGGCGUCUCACCAGAACGGACCUGACGGCAAGGGACGAAAGCUAGGGGCACGAACCGGAUUAGAUACCCGGGUAGUCCUAGCCGUAAACGAUACUCGCUAGGUGUCGGCCACGGUGCGACCGUUGUCGGUGCCGUAGGGAAGCCGUGAAGCGAGCCACCUGGGAAGUACGGCCGCAAGGCUGAAACUUAAAGGAAUUGGCGGGGGAGCAC
RNAcentral lists this ribosomal RNA (793 nucleotides) under uncultured archaeon. RNAcentral describes it as "bacterial SSU rRNA". It matches the Rfam family "Archaeal small subunit ribosomal RNA", at positions 85 to 879 of the family's 1478-position model. The record is from RNAcentral.